Oncorhynchus tshawytscha (Chinook salmon) is the source of this 882-nucleotide long non-coding RNA. NCBI's taxonomy places the organism in Eukaryota, Metazoa, Chordata, Actinopteri, Salmoniformes, Salmonidae. The record is from Ensembl.
UUUUUGCAGAAUUAAUUAAAUUUUUAUAAUAUUGUCUUCAAAACAACAGAGGGGAAAAAAUUAAAAAUGUCCCUCCGGUAUUCAUUCAGCUGGUAGUUUAAAUUAAACAGAGGUCAUUGCAGUAAACCAAGUAACAGAUGGAUGAAUCUUCACAGUGCAAUGCAUCAAACCUUUUAAAUCCAAUACGUAACACCAUCCAGUGCAUCUCUACCCCCAGUCCAGCUCAACUAACAACAAUAUUCACAGAUUGUCAUAAUUGUGGAAAUAUAAUUAAUGCAGGUGCCAUAAGACAUGGGGGGCCCCCUACUACCUCUAGGGUUGAACAACUCUGGAAACUUAUUUUUAUUUAUAUAUAUAUAUAUAUAUAUAUAUUUUAUUUUUUAUUUUUUUAUCCCAGAUUCCUAAAAUCAAGAAGGGAAAUCUGGGAAUCCUACAACCUGGGAUUUCUGGAAAUCUGGUGAAUUUUGGGAAGUACUUUUGCAAAAUAUAGACCCACAACUACCUCUAGGUCAGUCUGUUGACAGCAGAGUAAUAUAGACCCACAACUACCUCUAGCUCAGUCUGUUGACAGCAGAGUAACAUUCAUUCACAUCUCGAUAGUGCUUUUCGUCCUCCUCCUACACAUUUUCACUCUAGAGAAUGUAUAUCUGAUAUGAAUAGAUGGUAUUUUCACUCUAGAAUACAUAUCUAAUCAGAUGGUAUAUAUUGUGUGUGUGUGUCCAUAACGGUUCACUAUUCUGUAUAUAGUCCACUACAUCGGGAACUAGUUGCUAUUUGGGAUACAUCCCAGGUCGUAGAAACUCUUCCAUAAAGACCUGGGGGGUGGGAGAGACCAGGGGACGGGAGGGACAAAUCAAAUAAAGACCUGGGGGGGGGGCGGGA